ACCUCUCUAUCUAAAAAAUAAUUGGCUAAAUUAUAUAAAACUUCUCUGUCAAAACUAGAUUUUUUAUUUUUUCUCUCUGUCAUUUAAAAACCUAUCCUUUGCCCCCUUAUAAAAUAAAAAAAUAUUCGCUUCGCCCCCUGUCGUUAGUAAUCCGGUUCCGUUUAUAAAAUAUUAUUAUAUAUUUUUUAUGUCAAAAAUACCCUCAACCUUCUCUCCUGUGAACAUAGUGAGGGGGCAAAAUAUUCAUUUUGCCAUCACAGUUCACGCCGUAUCUUCCUGUGAAUAUUUUUUAUUUUACAAGGAGGCAAAGUGUAGGUUUUUAAAUGAUAGGGAGAAAAAGUGAAAAAUCUGACUUUGACAUAGAGAUUUUCUGUAAUUUAGCCAAAAUUUAAAGAAAAAAAGAAGUGUAGCAGAGGUGAAUGAAGCACUGAUAAAAGAAAUUUG
Molecule: long non-coding RNA, 444 nt
Filed under: Ananas comosus (pineapple)
Lineage: Eukaryota; Viridiplantae; Streptophyta; Magnoliopsida; Poales; Bromeliaceae
Description: long non-coding RNA (ACOM_LNC022696)
Source: RNAcentral